CUACGGGACGCUGCAGUGGGGAAUAUUGCACAAUGGGCGCAAGCCUGAUGCAGCAACGCCGCGUGAGGGAUGAAGGCCUUCGGGUUGUAAACCUCUUUUAGCAGGGAAGAAGCGAAAGUGACGGUACCUGCAGAAAAAGCACCGGCUAACUACGUGCCAGCAGCCGCGGUAAUACGUAGGGUGCAAGCGUUGUCCGGAAUUAUUGGGCGUAAAGAGCUCGUAGGCGGUUUGUGCACGUCUGCUGUGAAAAUCCAAGGCUCAACCUUGGACUUGCAGUGGGUACGGGCAGGCUAGAGUGCGGUAGGGGAGAUGGGAAUUCCUGGUGUAGCGGUGGAAUGCGCAGAUAUCAGGAGGAACACCAAUGGCGAAGGCACAUCUCUGGGCCGUAACUGACGCUGAGGAGCGAAAGCGUGGGGAGCGAACAGGAUUAGAUACCCCAGUAGUC
This 445-nucleotide ribosomal RNA is filed under the name uncultured bacterium. RNAcentral describes it as "partial 16S ribosomal RNA". It matches the Rfam family "Bacterial small subunit ribosomal RNA", at positions 339 to 795 of the family's 1533-position model. The record is from RNAcentral.